UGGUUGUUCCGAGUGGGAUACUACCUCAGGCACAAUGCCGUACAUCAAAUACGCUACAGGCACGGAGUAUGUCACAUGGGCAUCAGAUUCUCUGGUUGGAGAUGCAGACGUCUUGGCGAUAUUUGUAAUGGACUGGUUCAUGGCAUUUAAAGGGGUCCAGGGCGUGACAGCCUCUACUGAAAGUCUCGAGUCGCUCUGGCUCUCAG
This is a long non-coding RNA of Mizuhopecten yessoensis (Yesso scallop), 206 nucleotides long. RefSeq lists it as uncharacterized. NCBI's taxonomy places the organism in Eukaryota, Metazoa, Mollusca, Bivalvia, Pectinida, Pectinidae. The record is from RefSeq and is a predicted model, not a curated record. The transcript has 3 exons.